GCAAGUUUUUAGGGUUUCUACUUGCUAAUUAGAAAGAGUUUAUUAGCUGCAGUUUUUCUAACCCUAUUGCAGGACACAAAAGAAAAAUCUUCUUUGGCAAUUCACGCUCCUUUCCACCCAGAGACUGCCUCUGCUACUAUCAACCCUCUUGAUGGAGGGUUCAUAUAAAUAUCACCAAGCUAAAAUUAAGCCGAUUCCACAGUACCACUAGUGAAUAGGAACUAUAAUAUAUGCAGGUGACUCACAAGGAGUUCAAACCAGAGGUCUGUUUCACAGUCUACCUGAACAAGGACUGAAGAACUACUCAACCAAAUGUGGCAUCUCCAGAAGGCUGAGAUAUAAUGUAAUGAGUAGUAAAACUCACAGUGAAAUAAAGGCUUGGAGGCAGAAGACUGUAGAAGAGAAUAUAAGUAACUGAGCAGACAGAUUCAAAACAGACUGGAUAAGACACGAGCAAAUAUACAAGAGAAAAAUGUAUGGAACCUGAGAAUUAUAA
Molecule: long non-coding RNA, 496 nt
Organism: Mauremys reevesii (Reeves's turtle)
Lineage: Eukaryota; Metazoa; Chordata; Testudines; Geoemydidae
Exons: 3
Source: RefSeq, a predicted model, not a curated record